UUAAGUUAAGAAAACUCGACCCAGUAAACCACAUUUUUGAUAGGUAUUCUAUUUGUUUCUAGGUGUAGAUGUGCAGAAAUCACCAUCAAAAAUCAAAGAUUCUCAGACAGGAAAAGGAAGGUGUUGUAAUAGGCGGUUGCGAGGAUACGAGAUGUAACGAGAAAGGCCCCUCCCCGAAGGAACAAGGACUAGUCGACCAAAGAAUGUACCCAUGACGCAGGAAAAAUGGCAAACUAAGAUGAUCCGAUAAGCUACCUUUUGAUAUGUCAAUAGAUGGAAAAUACUGCUUCAUGCUUCACUGCUACAUGCCUCAGCAAAAAUAUCCAAUCAGCAUUAAGGGAGUAAGCUUUAGAUGGCAAUAGUAGAUAGCAAGUAUCAUAAAAGGAGUGCUACACCUUUGAAUAAAAAAAGCUUUUCUUGCUGCUAUUGUGUGUGUGUGUGUGUGUGUGUGCGUGUGUUUUCAGGAAGGGGAAAAACCCUGAAAGACAUUUGCUUUACUAUCUGGAGGGGUAAAGAAACGGGAUGUGAAGUAUGGACCCUCACUCACUGAUAAGUGGAAUUUUAUAAUAUUUUUUCAUUUAAACUUCCUUCUUGACUUUACAUUAUUGCAGUGAUUUAACGAACUGCAGAUAUACUCAAAGGAAUGUGGAAAGCACAGGAUAAAAUUGUCAGAACAAAAUGAGGAAAAGUGAGAGAAAACAUAAUGGAGAAUGGAAAAGUAAUCAAAAAAACAAGGGGAUGCCAGGUAAUUGGCCAGGAGUGAUUUACAAUGCAUUGCUGUCAUCUGCCAGCCUUUGGUAUUUGUGGGUAGGAUCUAACAGCUACUUGCUGUCUUCCUACCUGAAACAAGAAACUGAUUGCAAACACAGCUCUUUCUGA
Molecule: long non-coding RNA, 879 nt
Filed under: Numida meleagris (helmeted guineafowl)
Lineage: Eukaryota; Metazoa; Chordata; Aves; Galliformes; Numididae
Description: lncRNA (ENSNMEG00000000421.1)
Source: RNAcentral